RNAcentral lists this ribosomal RNA (254 nucleotides) under uncultured bacterium. RNAcentral describes it as "partial 16S ribosomal RNA". It matches the Rfam family "Bacterial small subunit ribosomal RNA", at positions 524 to 776 of the family's 1533-position model. The record is from RNAcentral.
CACGUAGGGGGCGAGCGUUGUCCGGAUUUAUUGGGCGUAAAGAGCUCGUAGGCGGCUCGGUAAGUGAGGUGUGAAAACUCCAGGCUCAACCUGGAGACGCCACCUCAUACUGCCGUGGCUAGAGUCCGGUAGGGGAGCAUGGAAUUCCUGGUGUAGCGGUGAAAUGCGCAGAUAUCAGGAGGAACACCAAUAGCGAAGGCAGCUCGCUGGGACGUUACUGACACUGAGGCGCGAAAGCGUGGGGAGCGAACAGG